GGCGCCAUCGCCAAGUGGUAAGGCCGGAGCCUGCAAAGCUCCUACCCCCAGUUCGAAUCUGGGUGGCGCCUCCA
Molecule: transfer RNA, 74 nt
Filed under: Sulfurimonas sp.
Lineage: Bacteria; Pseudomonadati; Campylobacterota; Epsilonproteobacteria; Campylobacterales; Sulfurimonadaceae
Also listed under: 2 other names
Description: tRNA-Cys
Rfam family: tRNA
About the family: Transfer RNA (tRNA) molecules are approximately 80 nucleotides in length. Their secondary structure includes four short double-helical elements and three loops (D, anti-codon, and T loops). Further hydrogen bonds mediate the characteristic L-shaped molecular structure. tRNAs have two regions of fundamental functional importance: the anti-codon, which is responsible for specific mRNA codon recognition, and the 3' end, to which the tRNAs corresponding amino acid is attached (by aminoacyl-tRNA synthetases). tRNAs cope with the degeneracy of the genetic code in two manners: having more than one tRNA (with a specific anti-codon) for a particular amino acid; and 'wobble' base-pairing, i.e. permitting non-standard base-pairing at the 3rd anti-codon position.
Source: RNAcentral